This is a long non-coding RNA of Pygocentrus nattereri (red-bellied piranha), 235 nucleotides long. RefSeq lists it as uncharacterized. The transcript is spliced from 3 exons. The record is from RefSeq and is a predicted model, not a curated record. Lineage: Eukaryota; Metazoa; Chordata; Actinopteri; Characiformes; Serrasalmidae.
UACAUCUCUACUGAGAAGAAGAGCUGGAGUGAGAGCAGAAAGUUCUGCAGAGAGAGAGGAGCAGACCUGGUGAUCAUAAACAGCAGAAAGGAACAGGAGUUCAUCAGUGAAGCAUUUGGCAGCUCUGAAGCUUGGAUUGGUCUGACGGAUGUUGACACAGAGGGGGUCUGGAAAUGGGUGGACAAAUCAACACUGACCGCUAAGUUCUGGUGGACAGGGGAACCCAAUGAUUAUG